Molecule: ribosomal RNA, 486 nt
Filed under: uncultured bacterium
Lineage: Bacteria
Description: partial 16S ribosomal RNA
Rfam family: Bacterial small subunit ribosomal RNA
Source: RNAcentral
AUUGAACGCUGGCGGCAUGCCUUACACAUGCAAGUCGAACGGCAGCACGGGUGCUUGCACCUGGUGGCGAGUGGCGAACGGGUGAGUAAUACAUCGGAACAUGUCCUGUAGUGGGGGAUAGCCCGGCGAAAGCCGGAUUAAUACCGCAUACGAUCCACGGAUGAAAGCGGGGGACCUUCGGGCCUCGCGCUAUAGGGUUGGCCGAUGGCUGAUUAGCUAGUUGGUGGGGUAAAGGCCCACCAAGGCGACGAUCAGUAGCUGGUCUGAGAGGACGACCAGCCACACUGGGACUGAGACACGGCCCAGACUCCUACGGGAGGCAGCAGUGGGGAAUUUUGGACAAUGGGCGAAAGCCUGAUCCAGCAAUGCCGCGUGUGUGAAGAAGGCCUUCGGGUUGUAAAGCACUUUUGUCCGGAAAGAAAUCCUUGGCUCUAAUACAGUCGGGGGAUGACGGUACCGGAAGAAUAAGCACCGGCUAACUACGUG